RNAcentral lists this ribosomal RNA (253 nucleotides) under uncultured bacterium. RNAcentral's name for it is "partial 16S ribosomal RNA". It matches the Rfam family "Bacterial small subunit ribosomal RNA", at positions 524 to 776 of the family's 1533-position model. The record is from RNAcentral.
UACGAAGGGGGCUAGCGUUGCUCGGAAUCACUGGACGUAAAGGGUGCGUAGGCGGGUCUUUAAGUCAGGGGUGAAAUCCUGGAGCUCAACUCCAGAACUGCCUUUGAUACUGAAGAUCUUGAGUUCGGGAGAGGUGAGUGGAACUGCGAGUGUAGAGGUGAAAUUCGUAGAUAUUAGGAAGAACACCAGUGGCGAAGGCGGCUCACUGGUCCGGUACUGACGCUGAGGUGCGAAAGCGUGGGGAGCAAACAGG